Molecule: ribosomal RNA, 25 nt
Filed under: Thrips tabaci
Lineage: Eukaryota; Metazoa; Arthropoda; Insecta; Thysanoptera; Thripidae
Description: partial 28S ribosomal RNA
Source: RNAcentral
ACCUCAGUCAGGAGAGACUACCCCC